AGGAUGAACCAGGGGUAUAAAUAAUGAAUGAAAGAGCGCAUGACAACAAAAGACAUCGCAUCUUUGACGAUACAAAACCCAGAAGAAAGCGGAAAAAGACCAAGAUUUUGGACAUCCCAGAAAUUGAUGAUGGUAUUAACAGGAAGUGAAUAAAGCAUGUUUGGAGCGAAUGAACUACAUGAACUGAAUGCAGAUAUUAUAUUUCACGAAGACAAUGCACAAG
Non-coding RNA from Paramuricea clavata, 223 nucleotides. Lineage: Eukaryota; Metazoa; Cnidaria; Anthozoa; Malacalcyonacea; Plexauridae. The record is from the annotation of a GenBank genome assembly.